GACGAACGCUGGCGGCGUGCUUAACGCAUGCAAGUCGAACGUGAUUUUUGUGGAAAUUCUUUCGGGAAUGGAAAUGAAAUGAAAGUGGCGAACGGGUGAGUAACACGUGAGCAACCUACCUUACACAGGGGGAUAGCCGUUGGAAACGACGAUUAAUACCGCAUGAGACCACAGAAUCGCAUGAUAUAGGGGUCAAAGAUUUAUCGGUGUAAGAAGGGCUCGCGUCUGAUUAGCUAGUUGGAAGGGUAAAGGCCUACCAAGGCGACGAUCAGUAGCCGGUCUGAGAGGAUGAACGGCCACAUAGGAACUGAGACACGGUCCAAACUCCUACGGGAGGCAGCAGUGGGGAAUAUUGCACAAUGGGGGGAACCCUGAUGCAGCGACGCCGCGUGAGCGAAGAAGGUUUUCGAAUCGUAAAGCUCUGUCCUAUGAGAAGAUAAUGACGGUAUCAUAGGAGGAAGCCCCGGCUAAAUACGUG
Molecule: ribosomal RNA, 478 nt
Filed under: uncultured bacterium
Lineage: Bacteria
Description: partial 16S ribosomal RNA
Rfam family: Bacterial small subunit ribosomal RNA
Source: RNAcentral